This 1005-nucleotide long non-coding RNA is filed under the name Oreochromis niloticus (Nile tilapia). Its description in RNAcentral is "lncRNA (ENSONIG00000041873.1)". Lineage: Eukaryota; Metazoa; Chordata; Actinopteri; Cichliformes; Cichlidae. The record is from RNAcentral.
AUGGAGUUUAAAUUAGAGGAGUUCACCAUGAGUCCAACUAAGAGGAAGUUGGAAAGGUGUAAAAAGGAUGAUUUGGUGCUCAUUGCAAACUUUUUUGAUGUGCCUGUGCCGUUGAAUGUGAAGAAGAAAGAGCUGAAAGAGCUCCUGUGUGUUAAACUGCAUGAAAGGGGGUUGUUUGGUGAGCCAGCUCCUGCAGAGGGAGUUGAGGUGGGAGCUGUUGCUGGCAUUCCUGCCCCACUGAAAGAUCUCCCUCCUCAAACUGGCCCUUCUGCGGAAGAGCUGCAGUUAACACUGCGCAUAAGGGAGGUUGAGUUACAGAAGCAGCAGUUGGAGGUGGAUGCCAUGCACUUAAAGGUUAGGGCUCUGGAGAUAGAGAGGGGAGCCGCUGUAUCUGCCAGUCCUCCUACACCUCGGUCAGCCCCGCAGUCACCAUCCCUGCAGUCAGAGGACAGCUUUGAUGUAAGUAGGCACAUCAAAUUAGUCCCAGCUUUUAGAGAGACUGAGGUAGAUUCGUAUUUCACCGUGUUUGAGCGCAUUGCAGGUGCACUACACUGGCCAAAGACUGUAUGGUCUCUUUUACUCCAGUGCCAAUUGGUGGGGAAAGCUCAGGAGGUGUGCACAGCUCUUUCAUUGGAGGACAGUUUGGAUUAUGAAAUGGUGAAGGCUGCUGUCCUACAUGCAUACGAGCUUGUCUCAGAAGCUUACAGGCAAAAAUUUAGAGGUCUUAGAAAAACUGCCACCCAGACUUAUGUAGAGUUUGCCAGGGAAAAGAAAAUUACAGGUGUCUUACCUGCCUCCCUAACCAAAAACAGGAGAAAAGGUUCCCAAAGAAAAAUGGCUUCUCACCCCUACAGCUACCGAGUAAAAUUAAAUAUUGACAACUAUUUACAUCUAUAUACAACAAACUAUUUACAACACGGAAAAAGCUUCCAGAAUACAAAUUCACACGCAGCCACAUGCACAGUUCGUUGGGAACAGGAAGUAGGCGCGGGCUGUGCCAGUUGA